This is a long non-coding RNA of Aethalodelphis obliquidens (Pacific white-sided dolphin), 4889 nucleotides long. RefSeq lists it as uncharacterized. The transcript has 2 exons. The record is from RefSeq and is a predicted model, not a curated record. Lineage: Eukaryota; Metazoa; Chordata; Mammalia; Artiodactyla; Delphinidae.
CUGUCCUUCUCCCCUCUCCUUUCCUCUCUCCUUCAUUUCCUUUGUCUCCCCGCCUUUCCCCUUGGGACCACAGCGCCACGCACCGCUGGUCCCACUGGCUGCAGCUCAUCUCUGCCUAGGUGUCACCUGCAGCCUCUUACUCUGGGCCCCAGGCUCAUCGUCCUCGGGUGCACCGCCCAGUCCAGCCCCUGUCGAGCCCUGGGCUACACCCCCCAGAAAUGCCUGCUGCUGUUUGGUGCUGUCCCCCUCCUGAGCGCCCUCAGCCGGGGAAGUGACAUUCUGGCGUGUCUUCCCGUUCCCUCCAGGCUCCGUGUGGUCCUGGGCCCCCUCUCAGAUGUGCGGCCCCGAUGUUUAGAAUCACUGCCUCCCAAUAAAGCGUCUGCUGGGAGGCCAGGAAGCAAGGGGCCCGCGUGUGCGAAGGGCCCACGUCUGUGCAGACGGGGCCGGGAAGAGAGGAAAUGGGAGCUCGCCCUCCGCAGGCACAGACGGCAGGAAAUUGGUGUGCCAUGGAGCUGCAUGGGAAAGCCGCGAGUGCAGCGAGGCGCCCCGCCCCGUGGGCUUGACCCUGAGCCGCUCCUCAACGUCUCAGGGGAGAGACGGCUGUGCCCACCCCCUGGGACAGGGCUUCAGCGUCUGGUUCUUUCCUCCCACCCCAAGUGGAGACAGGACUGUGGGAGGAGAAAAACAACAGAGGAGAAAGGCACUGCCCCUCUAAAGAGAGCGGACAGGGAGCGGGGAGGUGGCCCCACCUGUGGGGUCUGUUCCCUCCCCAGCACUGGCCAAGGCUAGACUUCGGGGUCUGGGUCCCAGGCCCCCUGCUUGUGCAGAAGGGGCUUCCUGAGGUUGGAAGACCCACAUGUCCACACAGCCAGGAGGCGGAAACUCCAGGGUGGCCCUGGGGGAUCGGAGAGCACAGCACCCCCAGCGGGGCAGCCACCACGCAGGGGGCCACCUGAGGCCGUGUGAGACACACACCCGCCACUGCCAGGGCUUCCAAUUCUGCGAGAAAUCUCCUGAGUCUUUUAAUGUCGUCGAUCACCUCUUAUUGAAGACCCGUUGCUUGGCAGUCCAGCGGUGCCUGAGGGCUGGCUCUCAGGUGGCCGGUGGAGGCAUGGGACUUAAAUCAUUGAGGAUCAAGCGGGGACAGAUGGAUGCAUGACUGAUGGGAAGAGGAAGGGUCUGUCUGUGGAGUACAUGGGAGUGUGUCAUUUUCAUAGAAUACAGAAAGAAGUAUCAUGCCGUGUCAGCAGGGGAGGGUUGGUAGUGAGGGGCACCUGAAUGGGGUGGCAGUGGGGCGACAGGACCUUUGAAGCGUAGAAGUCACCCACGUGGCAUGUCCAGCCACGGAGGUAGGCCACCCUGGGUUUGCAUCCUGUUCCCUGCUUUCAAGCUGUGUGACUUCAGGUAACUGACAUAACCUCUCUGAUCCUUAGCGGUAGCAUCAGGAAACAAGGGAUGAUAACCAUAUAUCCCUCCCAGUUGUUUGUGGUGUUUGAGAUGUUGAGGAUUAGAUAGAUGGUGCAGGGGAAGCUGUGCCUUGCACAGAGUGAGGACUUGGUGUCCAUUUGCCACAUCCCAGUACCUGAGGCAAAACACGUACGUGAAGAGUACCCUGUCCCCAAAAAUCAGCGGUGAGAGGAAGAAGACUGGGUCGGGGCAGAGGAUACUGUGUAGUGGAGAGGGAAGGGGAAGGAGGAGGACAGUGCCCUUUUGGAGUACAGGGGGUAUAUAAUAAGUAUAAAUAGUAAGUAUCCGUAGUAGUAUCAUUUUAAUUGCUACUGUUACUCUCUGAUGUGAAUGUCAGCGUGCAGAGGGCCUUGCAGGAUCACCUGGCCUAUUUUUAUCUGAGAGGAGACUGGCACAGAGAGAGGGAGCAAUCUUCCAGCAUCCCUCAUCAUACCAGCAGUAGGACCGGCCUGAUGCGGUACUUACCACUAAUAUUCUUCCUGUUACUCCCAGUAGCACUGUUACUCCCAUGCCAGCUACUAUUACUGCUAUCUCUAUUACUCACACUAGCCUAUUGCUUCUAAUACUACCAUUAUUUUCCUAGUACGAUGAAUCAAUUAAGGAGUGAAGUUUUAUUGAAGUUCUUACCAUGUUCCAGGUGCUGGGCAAAAAUACUGCAGAGACUUCCUCUCCUUUCAUCUUUAUAAAGACAUUAAGAAGAAACGGAGACUCAGAGAGGUUAAUUACUUGCUCAAGGCCACACAGUUAGCAAGUGGCAGGGCUAGAAUUAGACCCAGGCAGUCCCGCUCCUGCACACCUGGGUACCAGGUCAGACCGCCUCCCAAAAGAAGGAAGGAGGCUUGACAACCCCGAGCCUGGAUGAAUGGAGGCCUGGAUGCAUCCCAGGAGUAGGGCUGCCUUGUGAAUUAGCCCAAUGGGCAGCUACCUUUGGGGAGGGAUCUAAUAAUCUCUCUCCUGCCUUGUUUCACAAGACCUGAAAUUCCACUCUUCACAUGAUUUUCUUUGGAUUGAAUUUCACGUGCCUCUGUCUGUUAGCCUCGUUCAUUCAGUCUGCCAUUUGAUAAUAGCAUGGUGAGGGGUGGUGAGGCCAGGUCCCAGGCUCAGAAUCCUGGCUUCCAGUUCUGGCUGCUUGUAGCCUGGGUGACUGUGGGCCGGUCCCUUCAUCUCCCAGUGGUGGGAUGUCAAAUCUGAAGCUCCCAGCUCAGGGCCUCAUAGAGUGGCCCCUCUGUCCUUCCCCUGCAACUCUGCGAGACCCCUGUCAUAGCCCCAGGUGUAAUAGUCCUUGCAGAUGAGACCCCCACCCCCAAGGCCCAGUCCAGUGAUAGCAGGAAACCAGCAGAUUGCAUCUAGAAAAAACAGAGAAUUUAGAGAUUACUCAUCCACUCAUUCAGCAAACAUGAAUUGAGUACCACAGCGUCCCAGGCCUAUGCUGGAUGCCUGGACAGUGUGAGUGAGGUAGAUGUGGUCCUUACCCUCCAGGAGCUCAGGGCUCCAUGGGGAGGACAGACUUCGAAUGAAUGCCCUCCGACGAUGAUGUAAUCGUUGUGACAGGCCCUACAAAAGACACGUGGAGGGGGCGGUGAGUCUGGGAGCUUAGAGAAAGCUUUCUCAAGGAAAUGACCCUUGCAGCAAGGCUCCAAGGAGAAAAUCUGCCCAAAGAUGAGGACAGAGAAAGACAUUCCAGGCAGAGGAAACAGCACGUUCAGAGGCCCCAGGUGCAGAAGGAAUGUGGGUUCAAAUUUUCUCUCUACUUCUUCUGACUCGGUAGCUCUGUGCAAAAUGCUUCUCUCUGAGCCUCAGUUUCCUCACCUGUAGAAUGGGAACAGUUGCCACCUGCUCCCCAGGGUUCCAAGCAACUGAGAGGUUAAGGGGUGUGAAGGUGGUGGUGCUGGCACUGCCCCCCUGAAUGCCUAGGGAAUCUGGAGGCUGCCUCUUGGCUCCUAGCUUCCAAGCACCCCCGACACUUGAGGCUUCUGUCGGUCCUGGUUGUUCCUCAGCACAAUUAGGUAAUUAGGCCAAAUUCAAUUACACACCACACUCCCAGGUCUGUCUGGGGCCCGACGGGGGCGUGGGCUCCCUUUGCUGGCGGGGGGGCAGUAGCAGUGCUGCUCUCAGAGUUGUGUCUUCCUACCAUGCAUCCCAGAAUACUGCGUGCAUCCCAGAUGGGGAAACUGAGGCAGGGAAGAGGCAGUGUGCUUAGCCCCAAACCUCAGGGCUGAGAUCCCCAGGGCUGAUUUUUUCCCUCCUUGACAGCCCCAACCCAAACUGUGAGCCCAUGGCUUGUCCCACCUUUCAGAUUCAUCACAGGGGUCCUGGCUCCUCUCCCCCUGGACAAGACCCCCCCCGCCCCCCCACCGAGGGUGGGAUUCAGCUUCCCUGCCACCCUUGGAUUUGUGGCAGUUUCUCCUCCCAGCUGCAGACUGGUACCCAGCCACUAUUCAACACUUUGAAUGGUGUGUGAAUUUGAGGGGAGAGCACACCUUGACUUCCGGGCUAAGGGGUGUGCUGUUCCCACCUGCCAGGCUCAGCUCUGAGGAUCCUGAUUUCAACAUCAGGCCUCCUACUCCUCGCCCUGCCCUGGCGGCCACUUUGGAUUUUCCCCAGACAUUCCUUCGUGGCCUGUCUGCUCACGUCCAGAGCCCCCCGGGGGUGGGGGACACCUGGGACCACACUGCAGGUGUGAGGGGAGUCACCAGACCCCCUGGGCUGCCAUGGGCUGUGAGUACAGGGCUAGAAGGGAGCAGGCGCCUGGGGGAGUGUCCUCUCACACGGGACUGCAGGAGAGGAGGUGACACAGGAUUCCUGGCGAGCUUUAAUGGGCUUAGGAAGUUCAUAGAACGGCUGUACUGCUGCCCAGGAUGCGCUGAGGUGCUUGGGCCUGCUUCUCGAGCACCCUUCCUCUCCUCUCACCUAUCACAGCACCCCAAAACAGAAAGGGCCCCAGAAACCAUAAGCCCACCAGUGUGGGAUCCCCUUUACAACUCCCCAUCCUCAGCUUACACACCUCAGGUGACAAGGUACUCAUUACCACCCUGGGCGGCCCUGACUGUCAGAAGGUCCUUCCUUCUUUUGAGCCCAAACCCGUCUUUUUUUCAACACUGCCAUCCUUCCUUCUGAUGCAUGUGACUCCCACUGUGGAUGAGAAAAGGACUGAAGGGUCCAGGGUCUGGCCCCCGACCUCCCUGUGAGGAGGGGGAAGAACAGAGUGGGGCAGACCCUCCCCAUGUGAACCCCAGCUCAUAGAAAGAGACAGUGGAUGGACAAGAGCCCUUUAGAAUAGUGGAGCCCUGGACAGCCUGGAAUGUCAGGUGGAUGGUUAAAUCGCACAGAGGCUAAACAGGAAAAAGAAACACAAAGAAAGAAGACAUUUCCAUAUAUGUAAUGUGGUGUGCUGGAAAGAAUAUAAAACAUGACUCUCAUCA